RNAcentral lists this ribosomal RNA (198 nucleotides) under uncultured bacterium. Its description in RNAcentral is "partial 16S ribosomal RNA". It matches the Rfam family "Bacterial small subunit ribosomal RNA", at positions 328 to 539 of the family's 1533-position model. The record is from RNAcentral.
ACGCUCGACACCUACGGGAGGCAGCAGUGGGGAAUAUUGCACAAUGGGGGAAACCCUGAUGCAGCGACGCCGCGUGAAGGAAGAAGUAUUUCGGUAUGUAAACUUCUAUCAGCAGGGAAGAAAAUGACGGUACCUGACCAAGAAGCCCCGGCUAACUACGUGCCACAGCCGGCGGUAAUCUGAGCGGGCUGGCAAGGC